Molecule: ribosomal RNA, 724 nt
Filed under: Bacillus thuringiensis
Lineage: Bacteria; Bacillati; Bacillota; Bacilli; Caryophanales; Bacillaceae
Description: bacterial SSU rRNA
Rfam family: Bacterial small subunit ribosomal RNA
Source: RNAcentral
UCCGGGAAACCGGGGCUAAUACCGGAUAACAUUUUGAACCGCAGGGUUCGAAAUUGAAAGGCGGCUUCGGCUGUCACUUAUGGAUGGACCCGCGUCGCAAUAUCUAGUUGGUGAGGUAACGGCUCACCAAGGCGACGAUGCGUAACCAACCUGAGAGGGUGAUCGGCCACACUGGGACUGAGACACGGCCCAGACUCCUACGGGAGGCAUCAAUAGGGAAUCUUCCGCAGUGGACGAAAGUCUGACGGAGCAACGCCGCGUGAGUGAUGAAGGCUUUCGGGUCGUAAAACUCUGUUGUUAUGGAAGAACAAGUGCUAGUUGAAUAAUCUGGCACCUUGACGGUACCUAACCAGAAAGCCACGGCUAACUACGUGCCACCAACCGCGGUAAUACGUAUGUGGCAAGCGUUAUCCGGAAUUAUUGGGCGUAAAGCGCGCGCAUGUGGUUUCUUAAGUCUGAUGUGAAAGCCCACGGCUCAACCGUGGAGGGUCAUUGGAAACUGGGAGACUUGAGUGCAAAAGAGGAAAGUGGAAUUCCAUGUGUAGCGGUGAAAUGCGUAGAGAUAUGGAGGAACACCAGUGGCGAAGGCGACUUUCUGGUCUGUAACUGACACUGAGGCGCGAAAGCGUGGGGAGCAAACAGGAUUACAUACCCUGGUAGUCCACGCCGUACACGAUGAGUGCUAAGUGUUAGAGGGUUUCCGCCCUUUAGUGCUGAUGUUAAC